This 253-nucleotide ribosomal RNA is filed under the name uncultured bacterium. RNAcentral describes it as "partial 16S ribosomal RNA". It matches the Rfam family "Bacterial small subunit ribosomal RNA", at positions 524 to 776 of the family's 1533-position model. The record is from RNAcentral.
UACGAAGGUCCCAAGCGUUAUCCGGAUUUAUUGGGUUUAAAGGGUGCGUAGGCGGGCUAUCAAGUCAGUGGUGAAAUCUCCGAGCCUAACUCGGAAAUUGCCAUUGAUACUGAUGGUCUUGAGUACAUUUGAAGUGGGCGGAAUGUGUCAUGUAGCGGUGAAAUGCUUAGAUAUGACACAGAACACCGAUUGCGUAGGCAGCUCACUAAACUGUAACUGACGCUGAGGCACGAAAGCGUGGGGAGCAAACAGG